GAUGAACGCUGGCGGCGUGCUUAACACAUGCAAGUCGAACGGUGAAGCCAAGCUUGCUUGGUGGAUCAGUGGCGAACGGGUGAGUAACACGUGAGCAACCUGCCCUGGACUCUGGGAUAAGCGCUGGAAACGGUGUCUAAUACUGGAUAUGAGCUCCUUCCGCAUGGUGGGGGUUGGAAAGAUUUUCGGUCUGGGAUGGGCUCGCGGCCUAUCAGCCUGUUGGUGAGGUAAUGGCUCACCAAGGCGUCGACGGGUAGCCGGCCUGAGAGGGUGGACGGCCACACUGGGACUGAGACACGGCCCAGACUGCUACAGGAGGCAGCAGUGGGGAUGAUUGAACAAUGGGCGGAAGCCUGAUGCAGCAACGCCGGGUGAGGGAGGACGGCCUUCGGGUUGUAAACCUCUUUUAGCAGGGAAGAAGCUUUUGUGACGGUACCUGCAGAAAAAGCGCCGGCUAACUACGUGCCAGCAGCCGCCGUAA
This 481-nucleotide ribosomal RNA is filed under the name uncultured bacterium. RNAcentral's name for it is "partial 16S ribosomal RNA". It matches the Rfam family "Bacterial small subunit ribosomal RNA", at positions 28 to 523 of the family's 1533-position model. The record is from RNAcentral.